Molecule: ribosomal RNA, 253 nt
Filed under: uncultured bacterium
Lineage: Bacteria
Description: partial 16S ribosomal RNA
Rfam family: Bacterial small subunit ribosomal RNA
Source: RNAcentral
UACGGGGGGGGCAAGCGUUGUUCGGAAUUACUGGGCGUAAAGGGCUCGUAGGCGGCCAACUAAGUCAGACGUGAAAUCCCUCGGCUUAACCGGGGAACUGCGUCUGAUACUGGAUGGCUUGAGUUUGGGAGAGGGAUGCGGAAUUCCAGGUGUAGCGGUGAAAUGCGUAGAUAUGUGGAGGAACACCUGUGGCGAAGGCGCCUUGCUGGCCAAUUUCUGACGCUGAGGCGCGAAAGCGUGGGGAGCAAACAGG